GCACAAAAGGCGGUGGAAGGCGUAAACUUUUAUUGAACGAAAACGUUUUCAGUACAGGUCGUGCCAUCUUCGGUCUUGUAGUCGAGCGGAGCAGAAGGGCACGGUUGCAUCGGUGGGGGAACAAUUUUCAAAAAAUUACAGGUGCCAGGUCACGGCAAAGUGGUUAAAUGUACAAAUCCAAAUUAAAAACAAGCUAAAUAAACAUGUAAGAAAAUAUAAUAAAGGUCAUAAAAUAAAAUAAAAGUAUCGAGAAAGGCCGAAGGGCAAGUUAUGUCGGCCGUCUACGAAGGGAAUGUACCACGUCAUAUGUUCUUGCGUACAGCGUACUUCCAGGCCGUACUAAGCGUGUCAGCUUGUCUAAUAUUAAUGACAUUUUGUCCCCGGCUAGCUUUCAGAAUUUCUAGUUUUUCCGCUGUGGGAAGGGCCGUGCGGUCUGAGAUGUUUUUUACGACUUUUGCGUUUUGCCAAGAAA
Molecule: long non-coding RNA, 472 nt
Filed under: Androctonus crassicauda
Lineage: Eukaryota; Metazoa; Arthropoda; Arachnida; Scorpiones; Buthidae
Source: RNAcentral